GGAUCGCCCAGAUAGCAUUUGUCUGUGAACUGCGAAUGGCUCAUUAAUCAGUUAUCGUUUAUUUGAUAGUACCUUACUACAUGGAUACCUGUGGUAAUUCUAGAGCUAAUACAUGCUGAAAACCUCGACUUCGGAAGGGGUGUAUUUAUUAGAUAAAAAACCAAUGCCCUUCGGGGCUCCUUGGUGAAUCAUAAUAACUUAACGAAUCGCAUGGCCUUGCGCCGGCGAUGGUUCAUUCAAAUUUCUGCCCUAUCAACUUUCGAUGGUAGGAUAGUGGCCUACCAUGGUGGCAACGGGUAACGGGGAAUUAGGGUUCGAUUCCGGAGAGGGAGCCUGAGAAACGGCUACCACAUCCAAGGAAGGCAGCAGGCGCGCAAAUUACCCAAUCCCGACACGGGGAGGUAGUGACAAUAAAUACUGAUACGGGGCUCUUUUGGGUCUCGUAAUUGGAAUGAGUACAAUCUAAAUCCCUUAACGAGGAACAAUUGGAGGGCAAGUCUGGUGCCAGCAGCCAGUGUUCUCAUAUUCUUUUCUCUGCAGCCAUAUGGCCCUCUAGUCAACACCUUAAAUCUUUAUUUUACGUUGAGUGAAUACUAGGACAGGCAUACAGUGAAUUUUUCGUAAGAGUGUAAACAGGAGUGGGUGCAAGUUCUAAAUUUGCGCCCACUUUUUUACCUACGGUGCAAAUUAUUAAAUACCCCACUAACACGAAACAUGGACAUACACGAAUCGUAUAAAAAGGUUAUAACGAUUUAAACUAAGUGACUCCGAGAUCACGUUCCAGCAAUACGACGAUAUUGUUUCCCACGAUCGUCCCUUAUAAUGUUUAC
This 830-nucleotide ribosomal RNA is filed under the name Aspergillus niger. RNAcentral's name for it is "bacterial SSU rRNA". The stretch from base 1 to 525 matches the Rfam family "Eukaryotic small subunit ribosomal RNA", at positions 62 to 596 of the family's 1831-position model. Lineage: Eukaryota; Fungi; Ascomycota; Eurotiomycetes; Eurotiales; Aspergillaceae. The record is from RNAcentral.